GACGAACGCUGGCGGCGUGCUUAACACAUGCAAGUCGAACGGAAAGGCCUCUUUCGGGGGGUACUCGAGUGGCGAACGGGUGAGUAACACGUGAGUAACCUGCCCUUGACUUUGGGAUAACUUCAGGAAACUGGGGCUAAUACCGGAUAGGAGCUCCUGCUGCAUGGUGGGGGUUGGAAAGUUUCGGCGGUUGGGGAUGGACUCGCGGCUUAUCAGCUUGUUGGUGGGGUAGUGGCUUACCAAGGCUUUGACGGGUAGCCGGCCUGAGAGGGUGACCGGCCACAUUGGGACUGAGAUACGGCCCAGACUCCUACGGGAGGCAGCAGUGGGGAAUAUUGCACAAUGGGUGGAAGCCUGAUGCAGCAACGCCGUGUGCGGGAUGACGGCCUUCGGGUUGUAAACCGCUUUCGCUCAUGACGAAGCUUUGUGUGCCGGUAGUGGGUAAAGAAGCACCGGCUAACUACGUG
Molecule: ribosomal RNA, 467 nt
Filed under: uncultured bacterium
Lineage: Bacteria
Description: partial 16S ribosomal RNA
Rfam family: Bacterial small subunit ribosomal RNA
Source: RNAcentral